AACGCACGAGACCUGCGGACCUGCGGAGGGAUCAUUACAGAGUUUUCUAACUCCCAAACCCAUGUGAACUUACCAUUGUUGCCUCGGCGGAGCCUACCCUGUAGCUACCCUAUAAGGUGGUUACCCUGUAGCGCCCCGCCGGUGGAUUUUCAAACUCUUGUUAUUUUUAGUAAUCUGAGAGUCUUAUUUUAAAUAAGUCAAAACUUUCAACAACGGAUCUCUAGAUCGGAAGAGCACACG
This 240-nucleotide unclassified non-coding RNA is filed under the name soil metagenome. Its description in RNAcentral is "partial contains 5.8S ribosomal RNA, internal transcribed spacer 2, and large subunit ribosomal RNA". The record is from RNAcentral.